Ictalurus punctatus (channel catfish) is the source of this 8881-nucleotide long non-coding RNA. The record is from Ensembl. Lineage: Eukaryota; Metazoa; Chordata; Actinopteri; Siluriformes; Ictaluridae.
GUACGAAGUUAGCGCGCGCAGCUGAAGCCGUUCCGCUGUCUAACGCUAGGAGCCCAAACGGAGGCGGCGCUCAGCCUCAAAGCGACCAGAGCGGCUUAGCGCGCGCACACGUUCAACCAUUCCCCGCUCCUUCUACUUUUAUUAUAGUUAAGAGAUCCGAGCAGAUUCGAGCUCAGGCGGAGAGAUCGGAGGUCCCACUGCGAGCGUGUGUGUGUGUGUGUGUGUGUGUGUGGGCGCGCGCGCGCGCGCGCGUGUGUGUGUUUAUUGGAAGAGAGAGCAGCGCCUGUUUAUUUGAGCAAAGUGUUUUAACACGAGGACGCAUCAUCACUCCGGCAUAAAAGGAGACCAAAGCAUGAAGCCAGCGGCAGCGUUUUACAGAUCGAAGAUGCUCUUCUUGAUCACGAUAGUGAUGAUCGCACCGGGGAAAGCUUAACUCCUCCAUUCCUCCUUCUCUUGACCUCAUCACCCCUCUCUCUCCAGCCUUGAUGGGAGGGCUUCUGGAGCAGGAGACAAUUUAGGGCUGGUAUUAGCGGAGGUCUGUCCUCUGCCCUGGCCUCGCUGCUUUUAAUGACCUAAAGUCCAGCGAACUCCCCUCACGCCUCUCACACGUCACUUCACCCUGCUGACCCCUCUCAGAGCACACCAUUACUGCUGAGCAUGGGGGGAAAUUCUGGAACAAUCCACUAGACCCACACUAGAACAUUUUACAGCGUAUAAGCCUUAAUUCUGAUGUGUGUUUGACCUUGUUUUCGAUGUAGUGCAUAUUGGUAUGCUGAGUUCAGUGCUGAGGGAAUGACUAUGAGACAAAGAUUACAUUUUUAUUUGUAUGUCUGUAGUCUUUAUGACACUCCAGUCCACUGCUCUUAUUUGCUGUCUUUCAGACAGACCAGUAAUGUGAACAGUUUCAGUUCAAAACACAGUAUAUACAACUUUAGAAAUUUUGUUAAUUUUUUUUUAAUUUAAGACCUGUAGUAUUUAUUAUUCAAGUAUUAAAAACAAUAUUACACAAGUUUAUAUUGUUUUUUUUGUUUGUUUUUAAAAAAAUUUUAUUUAAGCACAGGCAUGCUGAAAAUAAAUGUAUUGAAAUAUAUUGCUAACACUUUUUUUUCAGAUACUAAGGAAUAUUUAGACAAAAUGUGAUUUAUCUAUCAGAAACAAUUGACAUAAUCUCAUGGUUCAAUAGUAGCUACUGGAAUUUCAACAAUGUAACUGUGAAAUAAGACAUAAAAUAAAAAUAAUAAAACAUCUUACAUUAAAUACUGGGAAAAAAUUACAUUAUGUACAUUAACUACAGAAUAUUAAACAAUAUAAAUGUAUAAAAUGUACAGAUUAUCUGUAUGAUAAUACAUUAUUAUGUGUUUUGAAACAAUGAUUAAUAACAAUUAUACAUAAUCCCAAUGAUUUAAAAAAAUGUUGUGAAUUUUUUUGUAGAUUAAAAAGGUUUUAAUGUAAUGUUUAUGUUAAUGUUUGUGUGUUUUGCACAGAACAUUAAUUCCAACUGAAUAGGGAACAGAUGUACCAGAACAAAAUUUUUAAACCCCUUGAUGUUUAUAAUGCAAUCAGCCAUAAUGAGCACAUAUUCACUCACCGGCCACUUUAAAAUGAAAACCUUUACACCUGCUCAUAAAAAACCCCAACAAACCAAAAAAACAAAGAACAAACGAACAAAUAAAAAAUGGUCUUUUUCCAAUCUUCACCUGCUCAGUUUUGGUGAGUCUGUGCCCAGCCUCAGAUUCGUGUUCUUGGAGUGGAACCUGAUGUGGUUUUAUGCUGUUAUAGAUCGUCCACCUCAAUGUUCGUCAUGUGUAUUUUGUGUUGCUUUUCUUAUUACUGUGGUUGUAAAGAGUGGUUAUUUUGAGUUACUAUGGAUUUCCUGUGUGCUCGAACCAGUCUGAGCAUUCUCCUAUGACCUCUUCUAUCAGUGAGGUGUUUCUGCCUAUUGAACUACUGCUCACUGGAUGUUUUUCUGUUUUUCGUAUCAUUCUGCAUAAACUGUUGUGCAUGUAAAUCCCAUGGGAUUUUUGAAAUACUCAAACCAGCCUGUUUGGCACCAACAACCAUGCCUCAGUCCCAGUCACUGAGAUCACAUUUUUCCCAUUCUGAUGUAUAAUGUGAACAUUAACUGAAGCUCUUGACCUGUAUCUGCAUGAUUUUAUGCAUUUGUGCUGGUGCCACAUAAUAGGCUAAUCGGAUAAUUGCAUGAAUGAGCAGGUGUUCAGGUAUUUCUAAUAAAGUGGACGGUUGUAUUUCAUGAUCCAUGAGCUUUCAGUUCCACUGUUAAACACACAAAAUGAGACUCUGGGGUUUAACAUGGUUCAGAAACAAACUCUUCCUAUGCUAUUUGUUAAAUCUGCUAUCAGACAUUUGCCAGUGGAAACGCAUAAUAGAAUGAAUGUUUCUGUUUGACAGCUCUGAAUACAGUUUUUCACGUUUGGCAGAGAACAAUUGAUAUGCUCAUUCUGUGACUUAUGUUUCUCAGCUCUCACUUUUAUAUGUUUUUCUGUAUGAAUAGAAUAUUAGUUGCUGUGAGAUGUGGUUUCUAUGUCCUGUUAUCUAUACCACCUUGACCUUCCAUGUGGAAUAUACUAUUGUAAUAUAACUCAUGCUAUUCCUUGCAGAGGUUAUGUAUGUAUUUAUUUAUAAAAAAACAACAACCCAUAUCUCCUGAUGAAAGCAGUAUGUCGUAGGUAUGGUGUUCUGAAUGGCCCAUACUGAAGGGCAAUCCCAUGCGCAAUCAUUGUCCAUGCUAAUGAAUGGCUAUAGAAGGGAAUGAGUCUCUUUUGUAAGCACUUUCGCUGUACAUAAAUACAACCAUUUUGUUCUUUGGUCUCAUAAAGUCUAAUUCAUUAUCUUGUCCAAAUGUUAUAACAUAUGCAGUAUCAUAAAUAGAUCAUAGCCACCACUGAACCAUUUUAAUCAAUUGGUGUAAGGGUUUUACAGAAAGAGAGAUAAAAUAGCAGUAGAGAAGAUUGCAAGAGGUUGUCCUUAUUAUUAUUAUUAUUUUUAAAAAGUACCCUUAUUUAAAAAAAGGCACCCUGUGGUCCAGUACUUUUAAUGUCUUCUACAAAGUAUCCACCAGUGCAUACUAUAGUUGUAAUAAAGGUGUUAACAUAAUAAAGUAUUUUUCAUAUUUCUUUCUUUUUUAUGUCCUCAGAAAAUGAAGUUGAGGACAAAUACCUUGCUGUGUUUAUUCUGGUUUGCUGACACUAUUUAUAUUAACUGGUUCCAACUGAAGCUAAAGAACAAAAGAAGAAAUACCAUGCGGAAACUGUGGUCUAGGUUCGAUUUUAGUGCCUUAAUCAGGCAUCAUCUUGAGUAUUCUGCUAUUUAAUAGAUCUUGGGUUCUCUGUUUCCAGGCAGCAAUCCCACUGGAAGGGAGUAAAACAUUUGCAAGGCUGUGCAAAUAAUAUGUUCUGUUUAACUGUAUUUUUGAACUGAUGAAUGUUAUAGUGCCUCUGAGAGCUGGAUCUCGAAAGUCUUAGUUUACUAUGAUGAGAUUGUAGUGCUUCUUCGUGUAAUAGCACUGCUUCAAUUUCAGUAUGAGUGUCAGCGUUUGACCUUUAAGUUGGAUUCAAGAGGCUGUAAAUUCCAUCAGAAUGAGAAAAGUGGAGCUGGUGGCUGAUGAGAACGAGGAAACCUGGGGCCUAGGAAACUCCAUUCAUCUCUCAGGAACUGUUCAUUUAAACAAAGCUGAGAUUGCAACAAACUGAAUGAAUUCUGUUCAUCAAAAACCUGACAGAGGUUAUAUGCUGAAAAUUCCUCAUCAUCUUCAGCUUUAUACUGAUCAGAGUUGUGAUGGAUCCCGAGUCUGUCCUAGGUGGAAACACACCAUGGAUGGGACGCCAGUACAUUUUAAGGAACCAUGCAUGCACACUUGCUCGGUCAUUCACACCCAGGGGCAAUUUAGAGUAGCCAAUCCACCUACUAGCAUGUUUUUGGGAUGUGGAAGGAAACCAGAGAACCCGAUGGAAACCUUUGACAGGGGGAGAACAUGCCCAGUGAAUCCACACAGAUGGUAACCAGAGCUCAGGAUAGACCUGAGACCCUGGAGAUGUGAGGCGGCAUCGUUACCUGCUGAACCACCGUGCCAAGCCACCAUGUUGUUCCAUGCUGAAUUACACAUGUCACAUGGUCCUUAUUGAAAAUGGACAAUUAUUAAUUAUUAUUGCUUUGCAAAAUUGUUAAAACUAGCAUUGUGUAAGGUUAUUCUAAUUCCUGAUUAACCAAUAAAAGCACUGUUAUUGAACUACUGAAGUCACUUCUUGGGUAUUUCUUAUACUUUACACCAGAUGAAGACAGUGAAAAACAAGAAAAAGAAAAGCCACACCUUUUAAUAUUUUAAUGCAGAGCACGUCACUGUUGUGAUUUCCAAAUUAGACAUGUGCAUCUGGAUUUUUUUCCCUCUAGCGCUUAACCAAAUAUCUGUUUAUUAACUUUGAAUAUUUGAAUAAUAAAAUUAGGCAGAUGGCACAUUCCCCAACACAUUUAAAAUGUAUGAAAUUGUCCAUGUUAUUUGUAUGAUAAUGCACUAUCAUGUAUAAUACAUUCCAUAAAUUGCCUAUUCUGGCUAAUCUGUGAACUACAAUUUUUGUUCUUUCAUCCCAACGUGUAGAGCUUUGCUUUUGUACUGUAUAUAUGUUUUCAGUGAAGAAUCAUUCCUGAGGACAUUCAUUAUAUGCCUUUACACAUAGUGUAUAUGUGCGUUGAGUGAAAAUAUGGCGUUUACCGUAAGUGCUGAAGAUGCAGUAUGGUUGUUUUGUUGACUUAAAGCAGCAGGAGCCUCGGUAUGCAAUAAAAAGUGCUGAGACAGAAUUUUGAAUAUGAAACAAUGGUUAAUAUAUCACCUGCCACUAGCCUAUAAAUACUUGUCCCCAGCGCACUCCAUAUGCAAAGCAGUAUGCAGGUAUUUUGUCAAAGCCAGUGUGGAAAUAUCUACAAAUUAGACAUGGAGGAGACCUGGGAGUCAGCAGGGUGCUGACACAGUGUGGAAAUCAUCACACUGCAUACAAAAGUCUGUCGUAUAUUUAUGGCAUGGCUUUUUUGUAACACUGACCAGGUGUGAGACCAAAAUACUGAUGUAGACACGGUACAAGUAUCCGACUGUCUAGCAAGUCCCUGUGCAGCAGUGUAGGCCUGUCAUAAUUGAGCUAAACCUUUUAACAUGAUUUAUACCAUAUAUUAGUGUCUGUGCUCUGCGGAUCUAUACUACAGAUAGAAAAUAGUGACAAUACACAGUAGGGUUUGCACAGCUGCUACUUUUUCCUUGUUGACCAGUAAUUCCAAAAAGGAGUUAACAAAUUCCUUUUCUAUAGACAAAACAAAAAUCAAUUCAGAAUGUCAACAAAUGUAAAUCAGUGCAAUAAAUGUGCAAAAUAAAAAAAUCAUAUAGCACCAUUUAAGGAUGUACCAAUUCUUAAAAUGCAUGCACUUGUGCAUGUGGAUGAGUUGGCAGCCUAUAUGAAAUUACUGAUUGUAAAACUGAGAGCUUGUCGCAUAGAAGCUCCUCAUACUGUAGCUUAAUUAUGAAUGGAGGAUGCAAUAUCUACACCGGUGUCUGGUUAUUCCACCAUGUAGAAUCUGAAAACGAGUUUGGAUUGGCCUCUAUGAAGCCUCUAUGAGACUCUGUUGAGCUGACUCCAAACUAGAUGUGUGGGAUUUGAUAGUGAUGCGCAACCCGUGGCUUCAAAUGCUCUCUUGCAUACUGUGCUGGUCGCAGUAUAAUUCACUAUAGCACUAUGUAAUGAUUCUUUUUAAAUUUGUUAAAGGACAACAAAUAUAACUGCAGGGGGACUUCCUUUGGGAGCGGGCAGGAGUGGGAUUUUUAAAAAAUGCCUCAAACCUCUCAUGCCUCAUACCUCUUCACUUCAUGCAAAGUGAUAUCAAAUUGUUAAAGUCCACCAUCCUGACUAGUCGACAUCCCCACGGACAUAACCAGUGAAUGUAUUAUUCGACUAGUCUACGCAACCCCUAGCACACAGUACAUAAUAUAUAGGUAUACUGCAUCACACUCAUUGUUAUAUCAUCACUUAAGUACAGUAAAAAUAAUAUUUUCCCACUACAGCAUUUGGUCUCAACACAGACUCUUUUUUUUUUAAUUCAAUAAAAGACUUGCUUCCAUGCAAUGCCUGCAUCUAACUGCAUACAAAGGGCCAAGUUAUCUUUGUAUUUCAUGCUACAUUUAUUGUCAUCUGGCAGACAGCCCAAUUAACCCUCAGCGCAGUGGUAAAGGGAGGACAGAGCGGAAUAAUGGCUGUUUUUACACACUAGCAUCCAAACAGCAAUUAGCCUGCAUUUCAUGCCACAUUGGCCCCAUGUUUUUGCCAAGGUGGAGCACUCCGGGGGUGUGCGACCCACCCAAAUCGAGGGACAAACAGCCCCAUCAAUUUCACAUUAUAGUGUCAUUUGUCCAGAAAUGCAGCCUGUCUCCUCUCUUCCUUUUUCUUUUCAUGUGUGACCCUUUCCCUGUUAUAGAAGAGGAGAAAGUGUCUGUAUUAUCUUCUGAAAUGAGACUUUUCUUUCUGUUUACUGCCGUUAUUAGGGAUCUUUUUUUUUUUUUUUUUUUUCAGUUCAUUCAAUGGGGUCAUUUUGUGCAUCAAGCCAUUUUGUCCACUUUGAGCAUUAUGCAUAAUUGAGAGAACAGUACAUUUACUUAACAACUACAUAGAGGGGAUAAAAACCCUUUUCAAUAUUACUUUACCAUCAUGUUUGUAAAACCAGGAGCAAAUUAUUUUCAAUUGUUCCCAUUUAUGGCUUGAGGCUGAGUAAGUUGACAUCAGAGUGCUCAGUGUCAGAAGCUGAGGUUGCACUGGCUCAGUGACUUUCAAGGUAAACUCUGGCUAUUGAUCUUCGCCUGAAGAUACGACUCCAUGCUGAAGGGAUUAAGCUGGCCAUUAGAACCAAUGGGAGAAAUGUUGACUGGGGGUUAGCUAUCAUCCUCAGCCUACAACACUUACCAACACAAUGUAGACAAUAAUAUUAUAAUGGUAAUAGUAAUAAUGGGUAUAAUAUAUAGUAUAAUGUAUAAUGUCACACUCCUCUCAGCUUGCACUGUAAAAAAAUGGUCAUGUACUUUAAGAGAGUCAUUGGGUCACAGUGGGUUCUGAAUACCACAGGAAAAAACAACAAGCUAGAUGGGUUCUUUAAUUAAAAUAUCAGGCUUGAUAAAACAAGGUAGCUACCUAGCUAGGCAAAAAGCAAUGUUUUAUUUUAUUUAUUUAUUUUUUUGUAAGAAAGGAAUAAAGGAAUAACUUAAAGGAAUUGCUUUUGGUGAUUAUUAUACAAUAACAUUAACAAUGCUGUAUGUUUACUGUUUUAUUACAGUGUAGUUACAGCAGUGUUACAGUACAUUAGCUGCAAGGUGCUUUGAUACAGUAUAAUAUCCCAGUACUGUAAAUACACAGUAUGGCCAAAGGUUUGUCCAUAACACUUUAUGUGCUUGUUGAACAUCCCAUUCCAGACGUAAUCCCCGUUAUUUGUUAUAAUAACCUCCACUCUUCUUGGAUGGCUUCCACUAGAUUUUGGAGCAUGGCUGUGGAGAUUUGCACAAGAGCACUGAUGUUGGGUGAGGCGGUCUGGGGUGCAGUCAGUGUUCUAGUUUAUCCUAAAUGUGUUCAGUGGGGUUGAGGUCAGGGCUGUGUGCAGGCCACUUGAGUUCUUCUACUCCAACCCUGGCAAACCAUGUCUUCAUGGACAUUGCCUUAUGCACAGGGGCAUUGCCAUGCUGGAACAGGUUUAGGCCUCUUAGUUCCAGUGAAGGGAAAUUUUAAUGCUACAGCAUACAAAGACAAUAGUUUGCUUCCAACUUUGUGGUAACAGUUUGGGGAAGACCCACAUAUGGGUGCUGGUCAAUAGUCCAUCUUCCCAGAAUAACAGACAGGCUACAGUAAAAGAUGUGUAAAGUAUAAUACCAGUUUUAACACAGUGUUUUAUUGUAUAAAUUCCAUACACUCUUUAAAGUGUGCUCUUUUUAGAAACCCGGUUUCUGUGUUGAUGGAAAACAACAUCUACAUACUAUAUAGACAUUAAUUAAGACUAAGAUGAAUUAUUAUUUGCUCACACUCUUGGGGUUUUAUAUUAUCCACCACUGAGCAGGGAAGCACUUAUGGGAGUCCUGUAAUUUAUUCGCAGGUGAGAGGAAAUCAAUCAGCUUGGAUACAGACAACAGCUGACAGAUCCAUGACAGUCCCAAAGGUGUGGAGCGAGAUUGUCACUUCGGAAAACAGCCAAUGCCUUACAUGCCCUAAAUAACCCAAAUUGAGUCAUGUCACCCCCCCCCCCCCCCCCAAUACUCUUGGCCCAUCAAUAUCCUACCAAGUACUGCAACAUGUGGCAAAGACCUGCCAGCUAACCCUACUGAGAAACAGUUAAUAGUAGUUACUGUAAAUCUAGCCUUGAUAAAGUCUUCAGUUCUUCAUUGUAAAUUAGUCUCCAUAAACCGUAUCAUAUAUUGCACAGCGAUGAACCAUUAUAAAUGAAUUAACAGCAUUUGCUGUAAUUAAUGCAAUUACUACAUGAUUAUACUGUUUAACAAGAAAGGAGACUGAAUCUAUUAUGAACCCAAUUUAUUUUUUGAGAAGAGCGUGCUGUAUAUUUGUGUAGUUGUUAUGUACAGGAAGACGUUAUGUUACGUACAGACAGACAGGUUUACAGAUGUUAGAGAUCAAUGUUAAUGUUUAUACUUUCUUUUCCCUUAAGGUAUUUUCUUUUAUAUAUAAAUAUAAGUUUUAGGCACCUUAUUUUUGUAGUACAAACUUUGUUAUGGAUUUUUUAAUUUAGUUUUCUAGCACAAAAUUAAAUGUUACAGAAAAAUGUGUGUAUGUCAGGACAGAAAGCAGCAUAAUUACGUAAGAGAACACUUUUCAGACAAAAAACAUAAUGAAGG